GGGCGUCUAAAGCCAUCGCUGUAAGCAUAACAAAAGUGACCGUCAUUUUAUCCGGUCCUUAAAGUGGAAUCAGUGUGACAUUUUUAAGACCGUUUAUUCUUCCCUUCCCAAAAUAAGAUAAAUUCCCUUCGUAAUUUUUAUGUAAAACUAGCAGUCCAUUAUUUUCUCUCAUUUCGUUCGAUCAGCUCUCUUCCAAUAUUGUUAAAGUUAGGGUUUUAUCAUUUUCUAGGAAUCUCUGUUUCUUUACAACCUGUACAAUUCAGUUUAGCUCACAUAAAAUCUCACACUACUUUCCUGCUUUCCACCGCCGCCUCCACUACUUCCGCCGCCAUUCGCCUCCGCCUCCACCACCACAAGCUCUCCUCGUCAACUCUCUAGCUUCAGCAGCUCUCCCGUGUCAGUUUCGUCGCUGUUCCGUCGCAUUCCCUCGUGUUCACGACAAUUCUCAUCUCAUUAACCGAAUCUCUGCUAUGAUCGAUCGCUUGCGAGAAUUUUCAGGAGAUGAAGUAUUAAGAACAGACAUUCAGUUUUACUAAUGUUAUGCUGCCUAUGUUUUACCACCGGAAAGCUCGCUGUGUAUGUUGCUGCUGCUGGUAUCAAUCCGCAGAGAAUUUAGGACUUUGACAGCCUAGGCUGGAAGGAGAAAAGUACUUAUCAAUUGUUGAUAAGUUCAUGUAAGUUGUAUUCACACCUUGGUCCAAUGUCAUUGUACAGGUCUGUUUCUUUCUGAAAAAGGCGCUAGAGGAGGUCUUUGUGUGUUGUAACUCUUUUUUUGAUAUAUUACCAGUUUGAGGAUUUUCCAAUGAAGUGGGCAUUUGAAACACUGCAAAGAUAUAACAAAACGUUUUGCAUGUUUAACGAUGAUGUACAAGUUAGUAAAGUUGUGGUAUAUUGCUAGUUUAUUUGUAUUCUAAAUCUGUUGGCAAGAAACUUUCAUGAGCAUUGUUGCAAUGAUGGCAGUUAGCUCAAGGACGACCAUUGCACUUGCCAGAUUUCUGGGAGCUAUGAGAGCUCAAGGACGACCAUUGUCUGACUUCCUGAAACAAAAAUAUGUUGUAGUGGCUCUGGGAGAUUAUUAUUGAUAAAACUGCUCAAGGACUUAGAAAUGAUUCCAGCAAAACCGAUUGUAAUAUUGAUAAUCAUCAAUCCAUGACCAGGUAAGUAUCUUUUAUGACCCUUUAUGUAUGGGGCAAUUAUGAUUUAUGUUUUUGUUAACUAUUGUUUUUUGUGCCCAACCUUGGAACUUAAUGGACCUUUAGUAGCUGUGUCAAGCUAAAAUCAAUUAUUUUCUUGCAUUGGACAAGCAUGUUGGAUAUAAUUGAGUUUUCAUGGAAUCAGUACUGUAUAGUACAGUAUGCGAGGCUUGAUGGCCGAUGAGUUUAGCUGCAAGAGACGGGACAUUGAAAGGGUCCAACACUAAUCCCCAGCUUGCUUGUGGGCUUAUAAAGAUUCCAAAGGGAGAGAUUGAUGAUAUUGAUGCGUGCAGCUGAUGCUAAUAAUAAUUUGAAUGGUGUUAAGUAAGGAGAAGGCAUUUACAAAUUCUAUGAGGGAGUAGUAAAUGUUAUUUCAAGUUAUGAUCCUUCUUGAGGAAGAAGGAGCUGAAGUAGUUAGUGCCAGUUCUAAAAAAUCUUUGGAUAUUGAUCAUCACUAGUAUAAAUUUAGUGAAGUUAUCAAUUUAGUUUUUUCUGUCAGGUAUAUAGGGGUUUCAAGAAGCAAAUAUGUGAUAUUUUAAUUUGUUGUUAGCAACCAUUAUAGAUAUUAAGUUUCUGUUUCAA
Molecule: long non-coding RNA, 1775 nt
Organism: Mercurialis annua (annual mercury)
Lineage: Eukaryota; Viridiplantae; Streptophyta; Magnoliopsida; Malpighiales; Euphorbiaceae
Exons: 5
Source: RefSeq, a predicted model, not a curated record